This 253-nucleotide ribosomal RNA is filed under the name uncultured bacterium. RNAcentral's name for it is "partial 16S ribosomal RNA". It matches the Rfam family "Bacterial small subunit ribosomal RNA", at positions 524 to 776 of the family's 1533-position model. The record is from RNAcentral.
UACGUAGGUGGCAAGCGUUGUCCGGAUUUACUGGGCGUAAAGAGCGCGCAGGCGGUCGUUCAAGUCGCGUGUGAAAGCCCCCGGCUCAACUGGGGAGGGUCACGCGAUACUGAUCGACUCGAAGGCAGGAGAGGGUAGUGGAAUUCCCGGUGUAGUGGUGAAAUGCGUAGAUAUGUGGAGGAAUACCGAUGGCGAAGGCAGCCUCCUGGGCCAACACUGACGCUCAUGCACGAAAGCGUGGGGAGCAAACAGG